GUCCCGCAAGUCAGCAUAUAAUUCUGCUCUUAUGUUUCCUUGAUGUUUUUUGAUCCAGUCUAGUCUGUACUACAUGCAAGGGCAUCCACGUUGAACAUCCGAAGUUGCUCGUUCAUUGAGGUUCUUCUCGCCUUGUAUGCAUGUCACAACUCCCUUCUCAAGUUGCUCUUUCUUCAUACCAGAAAAUUGCACCACACCAUUCACACUUGCGUGUUGGACUUCCGAAGUUCCAGAUUUCCAUAUCUGUCCUUUUCGAUGUCCUGUUUAAGUUUCUGAAUUUAGCAUCAAUUUGAAUAUUAGUAUGUUCUUUUUUCUUACUAAUACAACAAACUUAAUAGAACUGACAUAUCUGGUUAUUCUGCCCUUGAUUUUUUCUAUUGUACACUUUGUGUUACUUUUAGUCAUGUACACACUUAACAGAAUUACCAGGUUCAUGGAUGUCCAAAUUGUAUAUCUUCAUUGAAUUUUCUUGCUACUUACCUCGUAGUUUUACCAGCCUAUGCUUUCCUAUGGCAAUUCAACAAUGCUGAUUUUGCCUCAGUCAAUGCACAUGAUUGACAUCUGUAAAUGAUAUGGUUCCCUGUGGUAAUUCAAGAAUGCUGAUUUUGCCUCCGUCUUGAUUAAGCCAUGUUGCAUGGAAAUGUGUUUUCAUGUUUAAAAAAAAAGCUGAUAGGUACAAUCAGGAACAAAUGCAACAUGUUUUUGUGAUUUAAUAUAACACUUGGAAGGAAUUGAACACAUAGAUAUCACAACUGAUGCACAAAGAAGAAGCAAGCUAUAAUGUUACUUCCAGUAUACCAUACUACAGUCGUGCAACAUAUAAGGGAAGUUUUCAAUUAUAUAAUUUUUUCUCCCGCUAGAGUCGGCCUUGUUGGUUAAAUUUAUGGUCAAAGUUGAAGCACGGGAAUAGAGGAAGCACUAUAUUUUGGAAUGGAGGGAGUAUUAUUGAUUGUCUGGAUUCAGAUCAAUAUUAUAAUAUUUUUUUCUGUCCAUGCUUAAAUCAAUUAUGAACACAAAUGUGCCUAACUGGAAUUGUUGCAUUAUAUAAUUUAGGUGUAACAUUUUUGUGAUAUCACUUAUUAAAAGUCCAUGAUUAGCAACGAAUCACCUUGCUGGAUUGUAUAUUUGAUUGCUUUUAACUACCUCGGUAGGUUUCUCACAUUAUUGCAGUAUGCUCGACCUUUUAUUUUCAUCGCUUCUUCCUGCACAAUAUAGAAAACAUGUAUUAGAGAAGAUGAUAUUGUAAAAUUGGUACGGAGUACUGCUUAAGGUUAUGGAGAUCUAUGAUUUUGAUUAAUUAUUCGCCUUACAAUUUUUUGUUUGUUGUAGAAGUAAAGGAGAUCAACUUCCAAGAUCAGUGAUUGUGGUGAAAGCUUUAAUGUUAAAGUGGAUGUUAAGUUUCAAUCAUCAUGAUGAAGACACGUAUUUGUGAGGGUCUUUUACCCUUCUGCUGCUGUUAGAUGAUAGUCUAUAUCAAAACAUAUAUGGGUGAAGAAUUGUAAUACGAAUUAGAAAGCCCCAUAUUACAAUUAUUAAUAUAUGGUUUCAUAUUACGAAUACGAUUAAUAUAAAUAGACUAAUACGAAUCUUGUCUUGUGUUGUUUUUUUGAAAGAAAACAUGCACUUUAUUGAU
RNAcentral lists this long non-coding RNA (1633 nucleotides) under Triticum aestivum (bread wheat). RNAcentral describes it as "long non-coding RNA (TAES_LNC027045)". Lineage: Eukaryota; Viridiplantae; Streptophyta; Magnoliopsida; Poales; Poaceae. The record is from RNAcentral.